This 253-nucleotide ribosomal RNA is filed under the name uncultured bacterium. Its description in RNAcentral is "partial 16S ribosomal RNA". It matches the Rfam family "Bacterial small subunit ribosomal RNA", at positions 524 to 776 of the family's 1533-position model. The record is from RNAcentral.
UACGUAGGGGUCAAGCGUUGUCCGGAAUUAUUGGGCGUAAAGAGCGUGUAGGCGGUCCGGUAAGUCAGCUGUGAAAGCCCAGGGCUCAACCUUGGAAUUGCAUUCGAGACUGCAUAGCUAGGAUGCGGAAGAGGGAAGCGGAAUUUCCGGUGUAGCGGUGAAAUGCGUAGAUAUCGGAAGGAACACCAGUGGCGAAAGCGGCUUCCUGGUCCAGCAUCGACGUUCAGGCACGAAAGCGUGGGGAGCAAACAGG